This 242-nucleotide transfer RNA is filed under the name Metarhizium anisopliae. RNAcentral describes it as "tRNA-Ser". The record is from RNAcentral. Lineage: Eukaryota; Fungi; Ascomycota; Sordariomycetes; Hypocreales; Clavicipitaceae.
AUAUAAUUAGCUUAUAAUAACUUAAUAUUAGAAUUAAUAAAGUAAAUAUUAGCUUAUAUUAAUUAUAAAUUUAAUCCUAAAAUAUUUAAAAUAUAAUAUAAAAAACUAUAAAUAAAAUAAAUAAUAUUAUAAAUAAAUAAACUAAAAAAAUUAUAUAAAAAAAUAUAAUAUAAAUUAAAAUUUAUAUAAAAUAAAAUAAUAUAAUAUUAAAAUUAUAAAAAAUUAAAAUUAUUUAUUAUUAA